AAUAAGAGGAGGUGCAAAUCAAGUGAGGAGGUGUAUCAAAUGAUAUGUCCUUUCAUGUGGUGCCAUAUUUUGACCAAGUCAACAUCACAUGCUAAUCACAUGUCCAUCAUGCCUCACCUCUUGAUCUUUCAUGAUGAUGAUCCAAGGGCUCCAAUGCAAGGCGCCAUUCACUUGACCCAUUAUGUCUUCAUCCAAUGGUGGGAUUAAGAUCCAAUGGUCAAUUAUGAUAGCCAUCCUCUAACCCAAUCCAAUUGGGUUAAACCAACUCUCCAUUAUAUCUUCAUCCAACGGUAGAUCAAGAUCUAAUGGUCUAGAUUGAAUGAUUUAUUAAAUCUAAUCCAAUUAGACUCAAACCAAGCCAAUUAGGUGCCAACUCUUGGCUAACCCAUAUUAGAACAUGAUCUAAUCAAAUUAGAUCAAGUAAGAAUCGGAUUCGAGUCCAAUUCGAAUCAAGAGCUAAGGGUUUGCAACACCUGCUAGGAUGUCUAUCUUGCAAACAUGAUCUAAUCCAAUUAGACCCUUAAUAAGUUUUCUUGUGUGUGACCCAUUAGGUUCCAUACUUAGCCAGCAAUAGGUGUGAGUGCGAGUUGACCCAACUUGAUUAGAACUCUUCUAAUUGAUUUAAGUCCAAACUGCGCGAACCCGAACUUAACAAUUAGAAUCCUUUCUAAUUGGUGAUC
Molecule: long non-coding RNA, 680 nt
Filed under: Phoenix dactylifera (date palm)
Lineage: Eukaryota; Viridiplantae; Streptophyta; Magnoliopsida; Arecales; Arecaceae
Description: long non-coding RNA (PDAC_LNC009874)
Source: RNAcentral